UAAAAGGUUUUCUUAUAAAACCACUCUACAUUCCAAGAAGAAUUUUG
Amazona aestiva (blue-fronted amazon) is the source of this 47-nucleotide non-coding RNA. The record is from Rfam. NCBI's taxonomy places the organism in Eukaryota, Metazoa, Chordata, Aves, Psittaciformes, Psittacidae.